UACAGAGGGUGCAAGCGUUGCUCGGAAUCAUUGGGCGUAAAGGGUAGGUAGGUGGUCUCAUUUGUCUGGGGUGAAAGCCCAGGGCUUAACCCUGGAAGUGCCCCGGAAACGGUGAGACUGGAGUAUUGGAGAGGGUCGUGGAAUUCCCGGUGUAGCGGUGAAAUGCGUAGAGAGUCGGGAGGAACACCAGAGGCGAAGGCGGCGACCUGGACAAUUACUGACACUCAACUACGAAAGCGUGGGGAGCAAACAGGG
Molecule: ribosomal RNA, 255 nt
Filed under: uncultured bacterium
Lineage: Bacteria
Description: partial 16S ribosomal RNA
Rfam family: Bacterial small subunit ribosomal RNA
Source: RNAcentral